Scylla paramamosain (green mud crab) is the source of this 1860-nucleotide long non-coding RNA. RefSeq lists it as uncharacterized. The transcript has 2 exons. The record is from RefSeq and is a predicted model, not a curated record. Lineage: Eukaryota; Metazoa; Arthropoda; Malacostraca; Decapoda; Portunidae.
ACUAAAAUAGUUAAGAGUAUUUUUACAUGUCUGUCUAGGUAAUAACCUAGACAAUGAGACAAUAGUGAAGAUUGUAAACAUGGUAUGCUUUUCAUACCAUCUAAAUUUUCGGGCAAAAACACUUAUUUUGCUCCUUAAUUGAUAAAACUCAAGGUUAGUGAGACUUUUCCUCUUCUAGUAUAUUUCCACAAAAUAUGAAUGCAUAAAAUCCCCUAAACAUUAUUUGUUUUCAUAAGUUAGAAAUAAAAUCUGCAUAUUGAGAUGGUCUUUUGGCGGCGCCAAAACAGUUUAAGCACGAAUCUGUGACUGAGGUGAGUUCCAGCCGCUGUUGUGCUUAUUUUACCUGUCCCACGAACACAACAGCUGCCUGGCCAACAUUCAGCGACUCAGAGACACAUUACCAAGUAAGCAAGUGGACAUUGCCGCCCUGACAAGCUUUUUAAAGUGUAAAGACGUACUGGGUAUGACAAGCCGCAGCUGAGUGUUUUGGCAUAACAACACAGCGGCGUCCUGGUUCCCUGUAGCUCCCUGGCUCCCUCCCCGUGCACAGUUUGCUCUCUCUCUCUCUCACCAAGAAAACAACAAAAUUUGCUCUGCGGAGACGAGGUUAAUGUGUGUUCAGGAACAUCUGGUGCAUUACGCUGUAUAAAAAUGACUGCUGCGAGGGGAGGCUUGGCUAGCUGACUAACUGAAAUAAGCCUCAAGAUCAAUGCAAACCGCAAGACCUUACACCAUAUAUAAUACAAUGAAGGAUAGGUUUACAGUCACUCCGGCCCCUAGUUACACCGGCCCUCAGUCACUGCGGCCCCCAACCCUAGUCACUCCGGCCUACCACCCUAGUCACUCCGGCCUACCACCCUAGUCACUCCGGCCCACUAAUUAUACUAAGUUAUCUAGAAAGAAUAUAUAGUAACAGGCUCUCUCUUUUAUUAAAUAAUUACGCAGUAUAGUCAUACACAUACACAAUAACUAUGUAAUACUAUGUAACCUUGAAAGAAUAUAUAAUAACAAAAAUAACCAAACAAUGCUCACCACACCCUGACCACAACAUGGGAGCGCUGACUGGCUUUAUCAGGCAGUCUACUGAUACUAAAAUAUUUCUGUAUACAAAAGUAUGUGUCUAAAAGUAAAAAACAAUUCAGGCAGUCUACUGAUACUAAAAUAUUUAUGUAUACAAAAGUAUGCGUCUGAGUAAAAAAAAACAAGAUUAUAUUACAAACUAAACACUGGGUCCGCUUAGCCUGGAACAUGCUUUUAAUAAUUGGUCAGUGGUGAGGUCAUGUUGUUUAUACUUGUUCCAUAGUGAAAAUAUUCGUCCCUGUAGAGAUCGGUAUUUUCGUCUCUGACAACGAGCAAGUUUUCCGUCCUUGACCAGACGCACUUGGACCUGUACAUUUUUGGCUUCUUUGAAAAGUAAGGGAACCAGCACAUAAAAAGGAAUAUGGGAAGAGCCUGCACUACCAUUCAAACGUCUAUGAUAACCUUCUACAUCAUUAUUCGUGCGAAUGCUCUGGCCAAACACUGUCCAUUCACUUGGUGACCAAAACCCACUUAUCCAUGUUUCUCUCAUGUACGUUGUUAAAUCUUUAAUUGAUGUAAUAUGUUCAUGUGGGAGAAAGGGAAGAGCCAUUAACUGUUUUAGGUAAUCUUGAGUGGGACGAUGAUUCAAGUAUGGAACCGCCAAUCCUAACGCCUGAAUCUUCCUCCAGACUGCCUGAUUCCAAUGAAAUGCACAGCCUUGCAACUUUGCAACUGGAAAUAAUUUCCUGACUACUGACCACAAAGCCAUUUCGAAGUCCAUCACGAUCUUUUCCACUUUACACUCCUGAAUUAUUGCUAAAAUAGAAUUCAAUACCUUUC